GACUGCGUAGCUCAGUUGGAAGAGCAUUGGGCUAGUAUUCCAAAGGUCGUAGGUUCGAAUCCCACCGUGGCCA
Molecule: transfer RNA, 73 nt
Filed under: Paramuricea clavata
Lineage: Eukaryota; Metazoa; Cnidaria; Anthozoa; Malacalcyonacea; Plexauridae
Rfam family: tRNA
About the family: Transfer RNA (tRNA) molecules are approximately 80 nucleotides in length.
Source: Rfam by way of RNAcentral